UAGUCAGGAUAUCACGUCUCAUUUAUUUGUGAUGUCUUUAUGGUUUCCUUUGAUCUGUGACAUCAGAUACAACAGACACUUCUGAAGAGUCCAGAAAUUAAUGCAGAGAACUCCCAGUUGGACAAUCAGUUCCAGACUCCACAGACCCCAGGACACACACUCUAUUCAAGAAUCUGUUGGUGAUGGCUCAGAAGUUUUCAAGCUCGCUUUGGUUCCUUAAAGAUUCUGGAAGUUACAUGCACUCAUAUGUUCAUCGCAGUGCUAUUCACAAUAACAAGGAUAUGGAAUCAACUGAGGUGCCCUUCAACAGUGGACUGGAUAAAGAAAAUGUGGUACAUAUAUG
This is a long non-coding RNA of Cercocebus atys (sooty mangabey), 343 nucleotides long. RefSeq lists it as uncharacterized. The transcript is spliced from 3 exons. NCBI's taxonomy places the organism in Eukaryota, Metazoa, Chordata, Mammalia, Primates, Cercopithecidae. The record is from RefSeq and is a predicted model, not a curated record.